RNAcentral lists this long non-coding RNA (1884 nucleotides) under Malus domestica (apple). RNAcentral's name for it is "long non-coding RNA (MDOM_LNC008645)". The record is from RNAcentral. Lineage: Eukaryota; Viridiplantae; Streptophyta; Magnoliopsida; Rosales; Rosaceae.
UGAGAGAGUACGCUUACUCAUUUGCAUCUCUUGCAAGUACCCAUCUUAUUUGGCCUCUAGAGAAUGAAGUCUCACAAUGAUAUGAUGUUGGCUCCGUUGCACUUAGUUAAGUCAUUCCCACCAUGCAAGUUCGAGUAGGGGUUCAAGAACAACCUCACAAUGAUAUGAUGUUGAUCAUUCUCGUUGCCUACCUUCACAACAACAUGUAUGCAUAUAGAACUCCUCCUAAGUGUAAGCACGCACUUUGUACUCCCCUAUGAUAGGGUGAAGUCGGUGUACGAGUCACAAACGAUCGGAGCCUACCACGGUGGAAGGCCACGAAAGAGUGUUCAAAGCACUCUCACGCUUAUCAACUUAAUAAUGGUUUGGUUGAGGGUUUUAGGUCUCAUCACAUUUAAGCAUGCAUUUUAAUCUAAUUAAAACAAUUUGGUCCUAUUACAACUAUUGGUCCAUGUGAUCGAUUUAGUACUAUAUAAUACUCCCACUAAGCUUGUAAAACGGUUUAAAGCAAGAGUAUAUGGUACUACUAACAUAAGGUUUGCAUUCAUUGAUAGACUAUAUAGUUGCCUUAGGGCCUUAGGAUGAAUAUGAACCUUUGAUUAGAUCCAACACGAGCCUAGUGUUAAAUCUCGGUCUAGGGAUGGUGAUUGAUUUUAGUUACGCGUUUAAUCAUAUUAAGGCUUGUUUUUCUUAUUGGGCGUUGGACCCAACUACUCCAAUUUCAUGCAUAUCAAAUAAAACAAGAAAAGAGUACUUCAAAGUAAAGAAGAGCUUAUGCUCUUUUACAACAUUUGAUCAAAACAAAUUACUUUAAAGUAAAGAAGAGCUUAUGCUCUUUUAGAACAUUUGAUCAUAUCAAAUUACAACCAAAGUCUAAUCUACACAUUCCCAUGGUUCAAACAAAUUUGAGACGGCCUUUCACAUGGCUCAAUUAUCGUAGGCUUAGGUUCAUAAUCACCCUUUCCUUAACUAAUUAACGCUUUAACUAAUUAAACUUGAAUGCAACAUUUUCAUUUGGUUUUUGUUUCCAUAGAAUUGAUUUAAAUGGAGCUAAAUGAAAUGAAAAUUCAAUUCUCAUUUAAAGAUACAAAACUAUUUUGUUCUCAACUAAUUUGGGCCAAAUACAAUAACCUCAACUUUUUGGGCUAUGUUGCAAAACACAAACUUUUGAGGUCACUUUGUAAGAACACAAAAGUCCACUACUUCAUGUAAUUACAACUAGAACCAAAAAAUUUCAUCAAAUACAAAAACUUCAUUAAAGGAGCAAAACAAUUUGUCCUUUAGUGAUUUUGGGCCUUUACGUAAAAACAUAAACUUUCGGGUCAAAGUACAAACACACAAAAGUAUAUGCAAUUGCAUAAAAGCCCUAAAAGUCCCCUACAUGUAGGGUGGCCGGUCAUGGUAGUGUGAGGGAGUGGUUUUUUGAUAAAAAAAACAAAGUCAUAAAGUCAUGCAAGUUGAAAAGGAUGGGUGAUGGGUUGGUGUGAAAAAGUAGGUGUAGGUGUGUAAGAAAAAAGUACCAAUCAUGUACAAAAAAUUCAAACACUUUAUCAACAUUUCAAUCACCUUUUCAAAUAAAUGACUUGUUGAUAGAAAAGUCACACCAACCAACACAAAACAAAGACUUUAUGUAAUCAACCAAAAACUUUGAAUCAAAAACACCGAACUUUUUGUUCUUGGUAAGAACAUCAAGAACAUUGAAGAACACAUAUGAAAACUCAUAAGAGCUCCAUGAAUGUUUUCACUCAAUAAAAUUCAAAAUUUCACUACUCAAAAGGGGGUUAACAUCCUAGGGUACUUAGGGGUUCCAAAAGUCACCUUAAAAAACUUUUAACAAGACAAACAAGAACCCAAAAUCUACCCUUUGGAUUGGCCGAAUUUCCC